Non-coding RNA from Oryctolagus cuniculus (rabbit), 307 nucleotides. NCBI's taxonomy places the organism in Eukaryota, Metazoa, Chordata, Mammalia, Lagomorpha, Leporidae. The record is from RefSeq and is a predicted model, not a curated record.
UGAAUGAGAAUGUUGGAGAUCUCUCUCUCUCCAUCUCUCUAUCCCUAUAUCUUUCUCUGUGUUUGACUCUUUCCCUCUCAAAACAACUACUGGAGACACAUAAUCAGUUUAAAGGCAGGAGCUGUGGCAUAGCCAGUUAAACUACCAUCUGCAGUGCCAGCCUCCUAUGUGGAAGUCAGUUCAAGUUCCCGCUCCUCCAAUUCAUAUCCAGCUGUCUUCUAAUGGCCAAGGAAAGCAGUGGAAGAUGGCCAAGCCUUUGGGCCCCUGCACCCUUAUUAGAAACCUGAAAGAAGCUCCUGGCUCCUGG